RNAcentral lists this small nuclear RNA (20 nucleotides) under Arabidopsis thaliana (thale cress). Its description in RNAcentral is "snRNA_15142". The record is from RNAcentral. Lineage: Eukaryota; Viridiplantae; Streptophyta; Magnoliopsida; Brassicales; Brassicaceae.
ACUAGGAUCUGCACCUAAAU